ACAGUUCAGUCCAGCAGAAGAGCUCAAACCCAGAGUCCAGCUGUGUGUCUAUCAAGAGUAACCGCUCUAUGCCUCUGUCAAUACAUUUCAAGACUGAAGACACACAACCUGAUCUCAGGUCAGUCCAGGAGAAGAGAUCAAAACCAGAGUCCAGCUGUGUGUCUAUGACGAGUAACUGCUCUAUGACUGAGCCAGAACAUUUGAUGAGUGCAGACAAACGGCCUGAUCUCAGGUCAGUCCAGGAGAAGAGAUCAAAACCAGAGUCCAGCUGUGUGUCUAUGACGAGUAACUGCUCUAUGACUGAGCCAGAACAUUUGAUGAGUGCAGACAAACGGC
Molecule: long non-coding RNA, 336 nt
Filed under: Sinocyclocheilus anshuiensis
Lineage: Eukaryota; Metazoa; Chordata; Actinopteri; Cypriniformes; Cyprinidae
Description: lncRNA (ENSSANG00000026836.1)
Source: RNAcentral